UGAGUACGAGACGCUAAGGCGUCGAAGUAGUGUAUGUCAUACUUCCAAGAAAAGCUUGCACUGUCAUAAGUAAAAAAUGCCUGUACCAUAACCGACACAGGUGGGUAGGUAGAGUAUACUAAGGGGCGCGAGAUAACUCUCUCUAAGGAACUCGGCAAAAUAACUCCGUAACUUCGGGAGAAGGAGUGCCUUAUUCUUAAGGUUGCAAUAACAAGAUCCAAGCAACUGUUUAUCAAAAACACAGGUCUCCGCUAAGUCGCAAGACGAUGUAUGGGGGCUGACGCCUGCCCAGUGCCAGAAGGUUAAAGAAGUUGGUUAGCUUUUGCGAAGCUGAUAACUGAAGCCCUGGUGAACGGCGGCCGUAACUAUAACGGUCCUAAGGUAGCGAAAUUCCUUGUCGGGUAAGUUCCGACCCGCACGAAAGGCGUAAUGAUUUGGAUACUGUCUCGGAGAGGGGCUCGGUGAAAUAGACUUGUCUGUGAAGAUGCGGACUACCUGCACCAGGACAGAAAGACCCUAUGAAGCUUUACUGUAACUUGAAAUUGAAAUUGGACUUUAUUCGCGCAGUAUAGGUGGGAGGCGUUGAUUGUAAUCUUGCGGGAUUAUUGGAGCCAUCAGUGAGAUACCACUCUUGUAAUGUUAGAUUUCUAACUUUGUAUCAUUAUCUGGUCAAAGAACAGUUUCAGGCGGGCAGUUUGACUGGGGCGGUCGCCUCCUAAACGGUAACGGAGGCGUACAAAGGUUUCCUCUGAACGGUUAGAAAUCGUAUCUAGAGUGUAAAGGCAUAAGGAAGCUUGACUGUGAGACCUACAAGUCGAGCAGGGACGAAAGUCGGUCUUAGUGAUCUGACGGUACUGAGUGGAAAGGCCGUCACUCAACGGAUAAAAGUUACUCUAGGAUAACAGGCUGAUCUCCCCCAAGAGUUCACAUCGACGGGGAGGUUUGGCACCUUGAUGUCGGCUCAUCGCAUCCUGGGGCGGUAGUACGUCCCAAGGGUUGGGCUGUUCGCCCAUGAAAGCGGUACGCGAGCUGGGUUCAGAACGUCGUGAGACAGUUCGGUCCAUAUCCGGUGUAGGCGUUAGAAUAUUGAGAGGAGCCUUCUUUAGUACGAGAGGACCGAGAAGGACAUACCUCUGGUGUACCAGUUAUCGUGCCAACGGUAAACGCUGGGUAGCUAUGUAUGGAGUGGAUAACCGCUGAAAGCAUCUAAGUGGGAAGCCACCUCAAGAUAAGUAUUCU
RNAcentral lists this ribosomal RNA (1239 nucleotides) under metagenome. Its description in RNAcentral is "bacterial LSU rRNA". It matches the Rfam family "Bacterial large subunit ribosomal RNA", at positions 1564 to 2814 of the family's 2925-position model. The record is from RNAcentral.